Molecule: small RNA, 29 nt
Filed under: Bombyx mori (domestic silkworm)
Lineage: Eukaryota; Metazoa; Arthropoda; Insecta; Lepidoptera; Bombycidae
Description: ovarian small RNA-11265
Source: RNAcentral
ACCCAGUGUCACCAGGAUAGGGAGAUGGU